This 254-nucleotide ribosomal RNA is filed under the name uncultured bacterium. RNAcentral describes it as "partial 16S ribosomal RNA". It matches the Rfam family "Bacterial small subunit ribosomal RNA", at positions 524 to 776 of the family's 1533-position model. The record is from RNAcentral.
UACGGGGGGAGCAAGCGUUGUUCGGAUUUACUGGGCGUAAAGGGCGCGUAGGCGGCCACCGCAAGUCGACUGUGAAAUCUCCGGGCUUAACCCGGAAAGGUCAGCCGAUACUGCGGGGCUAGAGUGCAGAAGGGGCAACUGGAAUUCUCGGUGUAGCGGUGAAAUGCGUAGAUAUCAAGAGGAACACCUGCGGCGAAGGCGGGUUGCUGGGCCGACACUGACGCUGAUGCGCGAAAGCCAGGGGAGCGAACGGG